Molecule: long non-coding RNA, 540 nt
Filed under: Lynx pardinus (Iberian lynx)
Lineage: Eukaryota; Metazoa; Chordata; Mammalia; Carnivora; Felidae
Source: RNAcentral
GCAGCUGGUGUAAGGCCCUGGCAGGCUGAGGCGCUGCUGUCUAUUGGGGUUUACUUCUGUCUACAUUGAAACAUGGCUUGGGAGGGGGUUGGUGGCCUGCUGCCAGCCUCAGUUAGCCUGCCCUUCUCUUUCCUCUUUCCUCCUCACCACCAACCCCCCCCCCCCCAACUCCCCUCCCUCAUGCUUUAAAGUCACAUUUCCAGGCCAGACGUAGAAUUAAUCUCUGGGCACUUCACAUUGCUGGCAGCUGAAAGCAGGAUGUGGGAUCUUUUUUUUUUUUUUCUCUCUUUCUCUCUCUCUGCGUCUUGGCUGACUUUUUUACCUCUCGAAGAAUUUGGAAGGCCGUGAGAUCCCCCCCCCCCUCAAGUACUGUGGAGUUUUUCAGCACGCUGAUCACCCUGCUGCGGCUUCACCCUAAUAGACUUCAUAUGUUGAUGCAGUUGACAUCAGUAUCAAACUAUUUUACAUGUGAUCUGGUGUAUUUCCUGAGGAAAUCUGCAAGAUAUUUAUUAAGAACUAAUAAAAUAAACCUCUCCAUGA